RNAcentral lists this ribosomal RNA (620 nucleotides) under uncultured bacterium. Its description in RNAcentral is "bacterial SSU rRNA". It matches the Rfam family "Bacterial small subunit ribosomal RNA", at positions 338 to 951 of the family's 1533-position model. The record is from RNAcentral.
CCUACGGGAGGCAGCAGUGGGGAAUAUUGGACAAUGGGCGCAAGCCUGAUCCAGCCAUACCGCGUGGGUGAAGAAGGCCUUCGGGUUGUAAAGCCCUUUUGUUGGGAAAGAAAAGCAGUCGAUUAAUACUCGGUUGUUCUGACGGUACCCAAAGAAUAAGCACCGGCUAACUUCGUGCCAGCAGCCGCGGUAAUACGAAGGGUGCAAGCGUUACUCGGAAUUACUGGGCGUAAAGCGUGCGUAGGUGGUUGUUUAAGUCUGUUGUGAAAGCCCUGGGCUCAACCUGGGAAUUGCAGUGGAUACUGGGCGACUAGAGUGUGGUAGAGGGUAGUGGAAUUCCCGGUGUAGCAGUGAAAUGCGUAGAGAUCGGGAGGAACAUCCAUGGCGAAGGCAGCUACCUGGACCAACACUGACACUGAGGCACGAAAGCGUGGGGAGCAAACAGGAUUAGAUACCCUGGUAGUCCACGCCCUAAACGAUGCGAACUGGAUGUUGGGUGCAAUUUGGCACGCAGUAUCGAAGCUAACGCGUUAAGUUCGCCGCCUGGGGAGUACGGUCGCAAGACUGAAACUCAAAGGAAUUGACGGCNGAGAGAGCGACGACGACGACGAGGGAGGAGG